Molecule: ribosomal RNA, 2702 nt
Filed under: Unicapsula trigona
Lineage: Eukaryota; Metazoa; Cnidaria; Myxozoa; Multivalvulida; Trilosporidae
Description: eukaryotic LSU rRNA
Rfam family: Eukaryotic large subunit ribosomal RNA
Source: RNAcentral
GACCUCAACUCAGGCAAGACUACCCGCUGAACUUAAGCAUAUCAGUAAGCGGAGGAAAAGAAAACAACUGUGAUUCCCUUAGUAACUGCGAGUGAAGCGGGAAAAGCCCAUCGUUGAAUCUCCCCGGCCCAUGGUCGGGGCGAGUUGUGACGGUAUGGAUUGGUAUUCUAGCAUGAAGCUCCGGCUAAAGUCUUCCGGAUUGAGGCGCCAGAGAGGGUGGAAGCCCCGUGUGUGGCCGGAGGGACAUGUGCAUGUUGCCAAUUCCUAGAGUCGGGUUGUUUGGGAUUGCAACCUAAAGCAGGUGGUAAACUCCACCUAAGGCUAAAUAUAGACACGAAACCGAUAGCGAACAAGUACCGUGAGGGAAAGUUGAAAAGAACCCUGAAAAGAGAGUUAAAAGUACGUGAAACCGCUAACGGGGAAGCGGAAGGCAGUGUCGAGACUGGGUGUGGUGGGCCUUUAAUUGAGGGGGUCAGCUGCGCUCGGUGCGUCAGGCCUGUCGGCGGUCGCGGUGAAAUUGAGCACGGCGGCAACAACAUCUUAGGAAGUUGAUGUCGCGGCUGGAGGAAUCCGUGUGUGCUGGCAAGUGAAUAAUCGUGUAGAGAGCUGCAUGCACUGCGUCGUGUCCAAAGCUUGGGCGCGGCGUAGGAGUGUGUUGUUCCCGAUCGCGGUGAUCCUGACGAGAUACCCAACCUUCCGACUCGUCUUGAAACACGGACCAAGGAGGCAGAAACUGGAGCGAGUUAAAGGGUGGAAAACCCGAGGGCGUAGUGAAAGCAAGAGGUGGGAUCCGCUUGUCUCGACGAGUGGCGCACCACCGGCCGGUCUGUAGAGAUCGAGUUUGAGCUCCAGUUGCUGGACCCGAAAGAUGGUGAACUAUGCGUGAGCAGGGUGAAGCCAGAGGAAACUCUGGUGGAAGCUCGAAGCGAUUCUGACGUGCAAAUCGAUCGUUUGACUUGCGUGUGGGGGCGAAAGACUAAUCGAACCAUCUAGUAGCUGGUUCCCUUCGAAAUAUCCCUCAGGAUCGCUGAGACAGGUGGGAGACAGUUUCAUCGGGUAGAGCGAAUGAUUAGAGGAAUCGGGGACAUAUUACUCUCGACCUAUUCUCAAACUACCAACCGGUGAGAUUGCCGUUUGCUUAUUAUUUGAAACGGCACGUGGAAUGUCUCUGUCUCAAGUGGGCCAUUUUUGGUAAGCAGAACUGGCGAUGCGGGAUGAACCGAGAGCCGAGUUAAGGUGCCUAAGAGCACGUCGAUAGAUACCACAAAAGGAGUCGGUUGAUGAAGACAGCAGGACGGUGGCCCUGAAAGUAGGCAUCCGCUAAGGAGUGUCUAAUAACUCACCUGCCGAAUCAACCGGCCCUGAAAAUGGAUGGCGCUGAAGCGUGCCACCGAUACUCGGCCUUUACCUCGAGAAAUGGAGGUAGGGGGUAGAAGGGCGCGACGGUAGCGAUAAAGUGCAAAGCGUGAGCUUGCAUGGAGCUGCCGCCGGUGUAGAUCUUGGUGGUAGUAGCAACUAUAAAAGUGAGUAAAAACCUUUUGGGCCGAAGUGGAGAAGGGUUCCACGUGAACAGCAGUUGGACGUGGGUUAGUCGGUCCUAAGCGGUUGCCUAACGGCUAUUUCAACGCUGGCUUUGCCAGAGUUCCGCGAAAGGGAAUCAGGUUAAUAUUCCUGAACCGGGCGUCGGAGACGCGGUCCUCGACGCGAGAAGAGGGCCGCUCAGCGGUAACGCAAGCAAUAUCGGAGACGCUGAUGACUGUGGCGGAGAGAAUUAUCUUUUCUGUAUAACAAGCAAACACCUUGGAAUUGAGUCGCUCAGAGAUAAGGUGCAACGCUUGGAAGAACACCGCAACUAUUGUGGUGUCCGCACUGCAGGAAUCAGCCCUUGAAAAUCCGAUGGAGUGGUUGAAUUUCGCGCCUGUCCGUACCGAAUCCGCAUCAGGUCUCCAAGGUGUGCAGCCUCUGGCACUGGAACAAUGUAUGUAAGGGAAGUCGGCAAAAUAGAUCCGUAACUUUGGGAAAAGGAUUGGCUCUAAGGGCCGGGCCAAUCGAGCUAGCAUUGCCUAGACUAGUGGGGUCGUUGAUCGGGGCUGUUUCGGCAGCCAAGUGAAGCACACGCUGGUCAUGGAGUGUCUGCGUGGGGGUCCUCGGGCCUCCUUUGCGAGUGGCAAGCAUCGGUCAGCUUAGAACUGUUACUGACAUGGGGAAUCCGACUGUUUAAUUAAAACAAAGCAUUGCGAUGGCCUUAACAGGUGUUGACGCAAUGUGAUUUCUGCCCAGUGCUCUGAAUGUCAAAGUGCGGAGACGCAACCAAGCGCGGGUAAACGGCUGGGGUAACUAUGACUCUCUUAAGGUAGCCAAAUGCCUCGUCAUCUAAUUAGUGACGCGCAUGAAUGGAUCAACGAGAUUCCUACUGUCCCUACAUACCAUCCAGCGAAACCACAGUCAAGGGAACGGGCUUGACUGAGCCAGCGGGGAAAGAAGACCCUGUUGAGCUUGACUCUAGUUUGAUGUUGUGAGAAGACAUGAGGGGUGUAGCAUAAGUGGGAGGCAGUCCUCGGGCUGUCGACGGUGAAAUACCACUACCCUCAUAGUUUUCACACUAAGUCGGUGGCACGGGAGAUGCUCGCCAACGGCGGGCGGAUUCGCGGCUAUAAGGCAGACUGAUCUGCUGACCCAUCGCCGAUGACAUAAAUCAGAUG